UGGGGAAUUUUGGACAAUGGGGGCAACCCUGAUCCAGCAAUGCCGCGUGUGUGAAGAAGGCCUUCGGGUUGUAAAGCACUUUUGUCCGGGAAGAAAUCGCACCUGAUAAUACCGGGUGUGGAUGACGGUACCGGAAGAAUAAGGACCGGCUAACUACGUGCCAGCAGCCGCGGUAAUACGUAGGGUCCAAGCGUUAAUCGGAAUUACUGGGCGUAAAGCGUGCGCAGGCGGUUGUGCAAGACCGAUGUGAAAUCCCCGGGCUUAACCUGGGAAUUGCAUUGGUGACUGCACGGCUAGAGUGUGUCAGAGGGGGGUAGAAUUCCACGUGUAGCAGUGAAAUGCGUAGAGAUGUGGAGGAAUACAGAUGGCGAAGGCGGCCCCCUGGGAUAACACUGACGCUCAUGCACGAAAGCGUGGGGAGCAAACAGG
This 429-nucleotide ribosomal RNA is filed under the name Bacillota bacterium. Its description in RNAcentral is "Firmicutes bacterium partial 16S ribosomal RNA". It matches the Rfam family "Bacterial small subunit ribosomal RNA", at positions 355 to 776 of the family's 1533-position model. The record is from RNAcentral. Lineage: Bacteria; Bacillati; Bacillota.